UCCCUCUUAGCUCAGUGGUAGAGCGCGUCACUAGUAUGGCAGUGGGGAGAGAUUGCCAGCUAUGACGAGGUCAGUCGUUCAAGUCGGCUAGAGGGAA
Molecule: non-coding RNA, 97 nt
Organism: Termitomyces sp. Mi166#008
Lineage: Eukaryota; Fungi; Basidiomycota; Agaricomycetes; Agaricales; Lyophyllaceae
Source: the annotation of a GenBank genome assembly